ACGUAGGGUGCGAGCGUUAAUCGGAAUUACUGGGCGUAAAGCGUGCGCAGGCGGUUUUGUAAGACAGACGUGAAAUCCCCGGGCUUAACCUGGGAACUGCGUCUGUGACUGCAAGGCUAGAGUGUGGCAGAGGGGGGUAGAAUUCCGCGUGUAGCAGUGAAAUGCGUAGAUAUGCGGAGGAAUACCGAUGGCGAAGGCAGCCCCCUGGGUCAACACUGACGCUCAUGCACGAAAGCGUGGGGAGCAAACAGG
This 252-nucleotide ribosomal RNA is filed under the name uncultured bacterium. Its description in RNAcentral is "partial 16S ribosomal RNA". It matches the Rfam family "Bacterial small subunit ribosomal RNA", at positions 525 to 776 of the family's 1533-position model. The record is from RNAcentral.